CGGGCGGCCGUGACCCUGCUGGAGUGUGGGUGGGACCUCCAGCCCCCCGGGGGGUCCCUGCGCCUCUUCUGCCGAGGGUCCGGGUUCAGUUUUGGGAAUUUUGACAUGUACUGGAUCCGCCAGAGCCCCGGGCAGGGGCUGGAGUGGCUCGCAGGCAUCUACAGCAGUGGUUCCAGCACCGCAUAUGCGCCAUCGGUCAAGGGCCGGUUCACGAUCUCCAGGGACAACGGGCAGAGCUCGGUGACGCUGACCAUGAACAACCUCAAGGCCGAGGAUUCCGCCACCUAUUUCUGUGCCAAGAGUGUUCGUGCUGGUGCUGGUGCUAAUACUGCGUAUGCUCUUGGCUCCUCCCCCAUGGCUGGGCCCCCUCCUGUCCCCGUUCCCCUGGCCCUUCCCCCAAACCGCAGCCCCUGA
Molecule: non-coding RNA, 414 nt
Organism: Melozone crissalis (California towhee)
Lineage: Eukaryota; Metazoa; Chordata; Aves; Passeriformes; Passerellidae
Source: the annotation of a RefSeq genome assembly